RNAcentral lists this ribosomal RNA (460 nucleotides) under uncultured bacterium. Its description in RNAcentral is "partial 16S ribosomal RNA". It matches the Rfam family "Bacterial small subunit ribosomal RNA", at positions 338 to 795 of the family's 1533-position model. The record is from RNAcentral.
CCUACGGUAGGCUGCAGUGAGGAAUAUUGGUCACUGGGCGCGAGCCUGAACCAGCCAAGUCGCGUGAGGGAUGACGGUCCUCCGGAUUGUAAACCUCUUUUGCCGGGGAGCAAGCGUGCGUUCGUGACCGCGCGUCGAGAGUACCCGGCGAAAAAGCAUCGGCUAACUCCGUGCCAGCAGCCGCGGUACUACGGAGGAUGCGAGCGUUAUCCGGAUUUAUUGGGUUUAAGGGGUGCGUAGGCGGGAUGCCAAGUCUGCGGUAAAAAUGCGGUGCUCAACGCCGUCGAGCCGUUGAAACUGGCGUUCGUGAGUGGGCGAGAAGUAUGCGGAAUGCGUGGUGUAGCGGUGAAAUGCAUAGAUAUCACGCAGAACUCCGAUGGCGAAGGCAGCCUACUAAACGGCCACUGACAUUGAUGCUCGAAAGUGUGGGUAUCAAACAGGAUUAGAUACCCCAGUAGUC